AAGUAAAAAUCGUAACAAGGUCUCCGUUGGUGAACCAGCGGAGGGAUCAUUACAGAGUUGCAAAACUCCCUAAACCAUUGUGAACGUUACCUAUACCGUUGCUUCGGCGGGCGGCCCCGGGGUUUACCCCCCGGGCGCCCCUGGGCCCCACCGCGGGCGCCCGCCGGAGGUCACCAAACUCUUGAUAAUUUAUGGCCUCUCUGAGUCUUCUGUACUGAAUAAGUCAAAACUUUCAACAACGGAUCUCUUGGUUCUGGCAUCGAUGAAGAACGCAGCGAAAUGCGAUAAGUAAUGUGAAUUGCAGAAUUCAGUGAAUCAUCGAAUCUUUGAACGCACAUUGCGCCCGCCAGCAUUCUGGCGGGCAUGCCUGUUCGAGCGUCAUUUCAACCAUCAAGCCCCCGGGCUUGUGUUGGGGACCUGCGGCUGCCGCAGGCCCUGAAAAGCAGUGGCGGGCUCGCUGUCGCACCGAGCGUAGUAGCAUACAUCUCGCUCUGGUCGCGCCGCGGGUUCCGGCCGUUAAACCACCUUUUAACCCAAGGUUGACCUCGGAUCAGGUAGGAAGACCCGCUGAACUUAAGCAUAUCAAAAGCCGGAGGAA
Molecule: ribosomal RNA, 598 nt
Filed under: Chaetomium globosum
Lineage: Eukaryota; Fungi; Ascomycota; Sordariomycetes; Sordariales; Chaetomiaceae
Description: eukaryotic LSU rRNA
Rfam family: 5.8S ribosomal RNA (bases 228-381)
Source: RNAcentral